GACAGAGGCCUCAAGCGUUAGGCGGAAUCACUGGGCUUAAAGCGUGUGUAGGCGGAUCGUUAAGUGUCUUGUGAAAUCCCACGGCUCACCCGUGGAACGGCUGGGCAUACUGGCGAUCUUGGGCCAACUAGGGGCAACUGGAACAAGCGGUGGAGCGGUGAAAUGCGUAGAUAUCUGGAGGAACACCGGUGGCGAAGGCGGCAUCCUGGACCGAGAUUGACGCUGAGGCGCGAAAGCCAGGGGAGCAAACGGG
Molecule: ribosomal RNA, 253 nt
Filed under: uncultured bacterium
Lineage: Bacteria
Description: partial 16S ribosomal RNA
Rfam family: Bacterial small subunit ribosomal RNA
Source: RNAcentral